AGUUUGAUCAUGGCUCAGAUUGAACGCUGGCGGCAGGCCUAACACAUGCAAGUCGAGCGGAUGAAGAGAGCUUGCUCUCUGAUUCAGCGGCGGACGGGUGAGUAAUGCCUAGGAAUCUGCCUGGUAGUGGGGGACAACGUUUCGAAAGGAACGCUAAUACCGCAUACGUCCUACGGGAGAAAGCAGGGGACCUUCGGGCCUUGCGCUAUCAGAUGAGCCUAGGUCGGAUUAGCUAGUUGGUGAGGUAAUGGCUCACCAAGGCGACGAUCCGUAACUGGUCUGAGAGGAUGAUCAGUCACACUGGAACUGAGACACGGUCCAGACUCCUACGGGAGGCAGCAGUGGGGAAUAUUGGACAAUGGGCGAAAGCCUGAUCCAGCCAUGCCGCGUGUGUGAAGAAGGUCUUCGGAUUGUAAAGCACUUUAAGUUGGGAGGAAGGGCAGUAACUUAAUACGUUGCUGUUUUGACGUUACCGGCAGAAUAAGCACCGGCUAACUCUGUGCCAGCAGCCGCGGUAAUACAGAGGGUGCAAGCGUUAAUCGGAAUUACUGGGCGUAAAGCGCGCGUAGGUGGUUUGUUAAGUUGGAUGUGAAAGCCCCGGGCUCAACCUGGGAACUGCAUUCAAAACUGACAAGCUAGA
Molecule: ribosomal RNA, 640 nt
Filed under: uncultured organism
Description: bacterial SSU rRNA
Rfam family: Bacterial small subunit ribosomal RNA
Source: RNAcentral